CCCGCUGAACUUAAGCAUAUCAAUAAGCGGAGGAAAAGAAACUAACAAGGAUUCCCCUAGUAACUGCGAGUGAAGCGGGAAAAGCUCAAAUUUAAAAUCUGGCGGUCUUGCGGCCGUCCGAGUUGUAAUCUGGAGAAGCGUUUAUCCGCGUCGGACCGUGUACAAGUCUUCUGGAAGGGAGCGUCGUAGAGGGUGAGAAUCCCGUCUUUGACACGGACAACCGGUGCUUUUGUGAUGCGCUCUCGAAGAGUCGAGUUGUUUGGGAAUGCAGCUCAAAAUGGGUGGUAAAUUCCAUCUAAAGCUAAAUAUUGGCGAGAGACCGAUAGCGAACAAGUACCGUGAGGGAAAGAUGAAAAGCACUUUGGAAAGAGAGUUAAACAGUACGUGAAAUUGUUUGAAGGGAAACGUUUGAAGUCAGUCGCGUCGGCCGAGAUUCACCCUGGCUUCUGCUCGGUCCACUUCUCGGUGGGCGGUUCAGCAUCAAUUUUGACCGCCGGAUAAAGGUCGGGGGAAUGUGGCAUCCUUCGGGAUGUGUUAUAGACCUCGAUUCGGAUACGGCGAUUGGGAUUGAGGAACUCGGCGCUUUGCGUCCAGGAUGCUGGCAUAAUGGCUUUAAGCGACCCGUCUUGAAACACGG
RNAcentral lists this ribosomal RNA (637 nucleotides) under uncultured fungus. Its description in RNAcentral is "eukaryotic LSU rRNA". It matches the Rfam family "Eukaryotic large subunit ribosomal RNA", at positions 24 to 664 of the family's 3401-position model. The record is from RNAcentral. Lineage: Eukaryota; Fungi.